AAGUGAGACCCUGUCUUUAUUUAAAAUUAAGGAAAAAUAAAGAUACGAUACUGUAUGCAGAUUUAAAUCAUUUUGAGCAAGUCGUAUUUUCUUGCCACCUUGGAAGAGUCAAUUAACAUUUAUUGCUGGCCACAUGGCAGACAAUAUGCUCAAUGCUUCAUGGGCAUUAUCUCAUUUCUGUUUUAAAUUACAAAAUGAAGUCUAUGGAUGUUGAAAAUUUUGAAAGAUAUAGAAAAACACAGGAUAAAAAUUGAGAGGCUCUCGUCUCUUCUGCCUUCCCUUACCUUCUCUCUCACUGCUCUCUUUCCCUACAGCUUACCCUAGUGGUACAUGUAUGGUUGUGUGCCGGAUAUGUAUGUGUGUGUUUGUGGGUAGCUGUGUGUACAUACACACAUAACCAUACAAACAAGACCAUAGCUAUUUAUUGUAUUAAGACUUUUCCCCCCUUUUUAAUAGUGUAAUUUGGAUAUUUUCCUGCCUUCUACCAAAUACAUAAAUAUCAUGUUUCUUAAUACUCUUAAUAGUCUAUUCCAUAGUUUAGACUGUAUUUAACAACUCCCUUAUCAUUAGAUAUUUAGGCUUGUCCAGCUUUUUGCUAUCACAAACAGGGAUCUUGGUGUAUAUGUGAAUGUUGGCAGCAGGUUAGCAGAGCACCAGAAGUGGGACUACUGGUCAAACCUUUGCACAAAAAUCAUACAGCCUCUAAUAGCAUUUCCCAGAGAAGAAAAGGGCCUUGUCUGGAACACAGAUCAAGAACUCUUAACUUUUUCUGAUCCAUGCUUUACAUUGCCACUUGAUAAAUACUACAUGUCAUCUCUAAGUACCACUAAAUCUCCCAUCUGGAGAGAUGGGACACUCUCCUUUAUACCUUUGAUGACUUUACUACCCAUGAUAAAAGCAGGAGAUCCCACCUUCCAGCUGCCCCUUCUUAAACAUCUAACUCUGUGCAAGUCCCAACCCUCAUUUAAUCACUUUGCUACUUCAUUGCAUUCAUCACACCAACUUGCAGUUAUUUGUACAGUUGUUCAUCUUCCAUUAGACUGAGCCCUCUGAGGGCAGGAAAUAUUUUUCAUUCUUCUUGGAACUUCCUUUUCCUAACAUAGUGUCUGAGAUGCUCAAUAAACUUUUUUUUGAGUGAAUAAAAAAUAAAUGAGGGAGUAGAAUACCUAGAUGAAUUCAGUUAUAAAAUGGCUCCAGGUACUGAAAUUGUCCAUUUUCAUUUUUAUGUUUUUGCAAUAAGAAAGAUGAACAUGCAUCUCCCCUAGUGCUACUUUUUUCAAAACUAAAUAUUCUAAUUCCAAGGCUUUAUUUCCGUCAAAUAACUACCACUUCCAAAUUCUUCUGUUAUUUUUAUUGUUCUCCAGGAUCUCUCCAUCUCAAUCAUGUCAUACAUUGGAAACAAUUCUCUGACACUUCAUCUAUAUACAAUCAACACUUUGUUAGGCUCUUGUAGCUGCCUCAUUUUUUGUAACACAAUAGAAUACUUGCCUUAAUAAUAAAUUAUAUUUGCCUUACAGUAUGGCUUAUUAGAUACCCAAAAUGUUUUCUGCCAUGCUUUCGAAAUGUUUUGACUGCAUGACAUUCUAUGGUGUUAAAAUUCCCCAAAAUGAAUGAUUUAUACUGCAUUUGCCUUAAUUGGAAUCUAUCCUGUUUUCAUCUUUCCUACUUUGACAGUCAUCUCAAUGUAAAUCCUGUGUCAGAGGUGCUUAUCUGUCUCUUUGCUACUUUUCUUUGAAAACUAAACAUAAACACAAGAAAUUUCACAUAGUAAAACUAGUAAGAUCUGGGUUUAUAAAUAUAAAUGGUGCAUCUGUGGCGGCAGAGCUCUGUCUCCAACUUCUUGGAGAUAAACAAGUUCAUAGUUAGAAAUGCUCUAGAAGUAAACAGGAAACCUGCUACACAAAUUGUGAAAUAUAAGUAUGUUUUAUAGAAGUCCUGAAAUUGUAUUUUUCAACAAGUUAAAACAGAAAAACCUAACACUACCAUAUCCAUUAAAUAUUAAUUCUCUCUUCCUCAAAUGUUUUACUCAUAUCUAUGCCUGUCCCUUUGGAACAUUUUUCAGUCAAAUUCAUAACACUGUCUUGAUUCCAAGCCUCAGGAGAACAUUUGAAUGAAAUUUUCAAAUGCUUCAAUUUUUAUAUCAUCCAAUGUGGAAUUCACAUUUACUGAGCACCUGCAAUGAGCUAGGAUCUGUACUACAUACUUUUAAAAAUACAUUAUUUUUCCUAAGAAAGUUCUGAGGUAGAUAUAUUAUUUUACAGAUGAGGAAACAGAGGUUCAGAGAGGUUAACUGACUUCACAAAAGUCAUAGAGCUACUAGGUAACAGAGCUCAUUGAACAUGGAGCUAGGAUUCAACCCUGGAUCGCCGUGAAGCCAUUUUGUUUCCAUGACAUCAUGACAUUGGUUAUAACACCACAAUUGUUUAGAAUAUAAGGCUUGUUUAGAAUGCAAGGCUUCCUCAAUUCUCCACCCUUCCCCUCUUGACAUCUUGCUCUUCUUCCCUUCAUCUAUUGUGUUAGUCAGGUGCAUGCUGGUCUUCCCUCUAUCAAACUGUAAGCUACUUGGAGACUUGGGAUGCCUCACUCAUCUCUAUUCCCAAACCUCAGGGUCUAUCAUUCUACCUUCUGUAUAGACAGGACUUUCAUAGUUUUGAACAAGUCAGAACCUGAAAGAAUUUGCUUCCAGAACAGGACAUUGACAGGAAAAUUAAGCAUGAUCAUGCCGAGUAAAAUAGGAAUAAGAAUUGGACCUACCUCAAGAUCUGUUGAGAAGAUUAUGAGAGAGCUGAUGGAUCUAAAAGAUUGGCGCUUGAUAGAAUUGGGAUCAUUUGUUUUGACUAGAACAAUCUCUUGCAGCUUGGAUGGAGAAACUUUACAGAGGUUUCAGCCAAACACUCAUGAAUUCUUUAAUGUGUGAAAUAAAGUAAGUUUUAUAGGCAAAUAACAAUCUGAAUCCCUAACUAGCUAUUUCAUAUAAUAUGCAUAUAACUCUGAAAAUUACAUACAUCAAAUUUCAAUUUGGCUUCAUGCAUGCUUUGUUUUAUAGAUUCAUAAAGGCAGAUUUUCUCUGAUUAUCAGACUUAUUGCAAAAUGGAGUCAACACAGAAACUUCCUGAAGUUGGCAAAGCUUGUUUUCUUUGGCUGACAGGAGUAACUGAUGUAUUAUUAUUUUUUAAGGCUCUGAGAUAAAUCUGAUUCAUGUUUGAAUCAUAAGUUUAUUAUUGAUUUUUAGUGUGGAUUUUGCAUAAGAUACUCAAUUUAGAGAAUACUCAGCUUUCUCAUAUGCAGAAUAGAAAAAAAGUAGUUACCUGAUCAGAUUUUUUGAAAGGUAAAUGCAACAGCAGUUGUAAAUGGCAUAGUCCAUUGUUAGGAAUAGACUAGGUGUUCAAUAAAUGAAUAAAAAAAAACCGUGAAGCUCUCCUGAAGCUUUAUAUUCCCUGUCUAUAAAAUGGAGACAUCACUGAUUUCCUGCUUACAUUACAAGACUGCUGUGAAGAUCAAAUGAAGAAACAGAUAAAAAUGUUUGGUAAACUGAAUUGUACAGUAUAAAUAGAAAGCGGUGACAAAAGUAAUUCAUACCAAUGCAGUUUUUUAAAAAUAUCCCAACCUGCCUACACAACUACUUCCUCUCUCUGAGAUUUAUCUCAAAAGUGGAAUUAGAUUCCUGUCUUAGCUGUAAAAAUAAAGCCACAAAGGGCAUCAUGCAUGAGAGAGUAAAUGUGAAACUCUGUGGGGGAAAAUGGAAACUUCAGAUAUUAUUAGGGCCUAGCUGCCAAUGGUGAUUCUCUCAAGAUUUUAUUGGCAGGUUGAGUGAAAGUGCCAGAGUGUGGAUGCACAAAUUGUAGUUUAAUUGGUGUGAUUUAUAGCUAAUGGUGCAUCAGAAGGAGGAACUAGGAACUGUGCCUUCUAAUUUAAGGCAUAGUACCUAAGACUGCAUCCACUAGGUAAGAAAACCUUCCUUGGCAAACUCAAAUAUUAAAUCUUCGCUGAAUUUGUCUUGUUCUUUUAUAUAAAAAUCAUGGAGCCAGGAGCUAAAAUAAUAUCUAAGUUUCCUCUUUGCCUGACGCCAUCCAUGCAAAAUGUGACUUGCUUCUUCAGCAGCAGCAUGAAAACAAACUAAUACACCACUAUUCCUAGGUAAGUAGAGCCACAAUGGGAAGACCACUAAGGGAAUAUGGAGGCUCACAGAGGCUAGUCAAUUUAUCCAAGGCCACGCAGCAAAGCUGGGACUCAAACUCAAAUCUUCUAGUCCUAGUUUCAUUCAGUUUUUUUUUUUUCCUACAUUGAUUCUAGACUUUGUUCUACAAGUGACUACUUUUCUGUUUUGUUCCUGACAUGAACAUGUCCAUGGCUGUCUCAGACUUGUUUGGUUACCCUAAGUAACCAUUUAGCAGCCAAUUUCUGAUAUGACUAUAGAUACAUCUCUAUAAGUGAAUUCUAUAGGUGAUUUGGCAUGAUCAAAAUGAAAAGGCUUUGUUUGAGUUCCCCAAUAUACUGCUCAAAUGAAAGCUUCUCAAAAUAUCAUUUUGAGAUACGACAGGUCUUUCCUUCAAAUACAACAGAUACUUUUCUUUUGCAGCACUCAGCAUACAUACAACUAUUUAUUUAUCUGUAAGUACUUGCUUAGUAUCUGUGAAGAACAUUGCAGGUACCUGACAUAUGUCUAACUGAUGGAGUGAGGCUGCUAAUGUGGCCAUCUCUCCCUCUUCCUGAUAAGAAAGUGAACCAGCCAUUUCAAAAUGUGGAGAAUUCGAUAAAUAUGUUCUACUCCUCUAUAGCCCUCCCACUAAAAUAAUUUUCAAUUUUCAAUUGAGGUGAAAGGAAGAAUCGGCAAAGAGACGGAUUGAGAGAAUUGUUUAUACUCAUAACUUCGUUCUCAACAUAAUUAUCUAUUUCUGAAUCCUAAAAAUCACCUAGCUAGAUUCUCCCUCAAUCUGAAGAUUACCUUUUACUCCUUGAGAUGCUAAAUGUGUUCCUAUUUAUCAUAUUAAUAUUGCGAGUAUUUUGUGUUAUGCAGCCAGAAAAAUCACAUAAUGGGAACUUACCCACAGCCCCCAAACUCAUAAACAGGAGCUGAAUAGAAAUUCCUCAGUGCAAUUUAUGGUAACAAUUUCAUGCUCAGUUUAGUUACUUCCAUGACUCAGAAAAGAAAUUUCUUUUGCUUAUUUCAGUAAUUUUUUUCUAAAAAAUUGUUCCCCUAAUUUUUGGCAAAGGAUCUAUGAGAAAGUGAAGAACUCCCUGGUUGUACAUGGAUUUGGAAUUGUCACUUAAGUGAGGCCAAAAUGUAACCCUAUGCCAUUCAUUGCAUAGUACCAUUUGUUAUAAAUUUGACCUCUAAAACAAAGAUAUUACAAAGCCAUUGAGUGUUUUUUUAAGGGAUAUAUUAUAUUUGUCACUUAGUCCCCAGUAUUAUGAUGGAAAACCUGGAUAGUGGAUAGAAAACCUGGAGGUCAUUUAGGCAUCUCUUUCACUGGUUGGGUGAGAAAUGGUGAAGAAGAUGGGAAUGGAGAAGGGACAUACAUUUGGUAAGUGUAAAUAAGAGUCUUUGCUGAUUAAUUCAGUGUGGCCCAUGAGAAAGAGUGGAAGUGUCCAAGGUUCCCUCAGGUUUACAGCUUGGGCAACUGACUGAGAACAGAAAGGAGCUGCCAUUGAGAGGAAGAAAAGAAAAUGACACUGAGUCCAUGUUGGGACACAUUGGGUUUAAAGGGAUAUCAUUAUGACCUAAGCUCUCUGAAUUCCAGUGACUGGGAAUAUGGGAAGAUACAUCUUUAACAGUUGAAGCAAUUUAUACACUUUAACAAUUGAAGCAAUUUAUACACCAGAGCCUAAGGAAUAUUUAUAGAUGAGGGCUGUGCUGCAAUGACAGAUAGGGUUGUAUGAAACAUACACUAAUCUGACCAUUCUAUCCUCCAGACUCAGGGAAGGAAAUAAUAAAAGUAAGUAACCAUAAAAAAUAGACUUUUAUGCAUAAAUAAAUAAAAAUCAGCUAGGAGACAGUUCAUCCCUGUAUAAGUAAAACAGGCAAAUUUAUCUUUCCUCUGAUUAAUAAUUUAAGAAAAAAUCCCAAGCAAGCUGCCUAUGGAGGUGUAGGAGUAGCUCCUAUAAUUAGACUCCAAUUUGAACCAUGAGGGUGAGGAUCAGAAAGCUGACUCAGAGCCUGGUGUCAAUUAUUUGCAGUUUGUACAACGAAAGGCUAAAAAUUUGGGAGAUGCAGGAUGACUGAAGCCCGAUUCUGGGGGUUGUUACAGCACAGUUACAGGGUAAGUUUUUUCCAUUGUUAUUUGCUGGAAAAUUUAUUCUCCAUCUCCUUUAGUCUGUGCCUGAAUUUUGUGGGACUUGCUCGAGAAUGGUAUUCAUGCUUUAAAUCCAAGAGCCAGGAAUCAUCGCAUUUCAACAAUUUUCCUAUUUAUUUUAACCAAAACAGAGCUGGUUUCUAUAACUCAAUUUAAGAAAUUAUCCUCUUUGAUACAAUCUACUUAUGUUUGAUUGAUUUUAGAAUAAACUAACAGAUACACAAGAGCUUAUCAAGCUAGCUCGGUUCAGUGGAGAACUAUAGCAGAAACAGCAGGUUUCUAUUUGGCACAUUUUGGAUUUAUCUGGACGCAAGAGGAUGUGAAAAGAACACCUUUCAGACAAAAGCCAGUCUUGAGUAGGAAUUUAGUGUUCCUUGCCCAAACAGCUUAGUUUGUUUCCCAUUUUGAGUCACUAUCUGAAUCCUUUUUUAUCUCCUAUAUAGAACAAAUUCUCUCCCUCUAUUUAAUAGGCUUUCAGAUAUGAAACAGAGAGAGAGAGAGAGAGAGGAAGGAAGGAAGGGAGGGAGGGAAAGAGAAAGGGAAAGAAGGAAGGAAAAGCUCUAAUUUCUUCUGUUCUUUUGGUAACACACCUCCCCUUCACAUCCUUCAGCUGCUCCCCUUAGGGCUUUUUGUAGACACUUUUGGUGGUCUCUCCUCUCACACACUGCUCACCACUGUACUUUAUUUUGUAUCAUCUGUCUCCAUCCUUUCCCAACUCCUGAGCACUCAGCCUCCUCUGGAUCUUUUCUGGUUCCUUCGCUCCUAGAACUGUGUCUGAUGGCUUAUGAAGGCAAAUGACAAAUGUUUGCCAUAUGCACAUGUAUGUGCAUGAAUGAAUACAUCCAGGUUCUGACUUCCUCGGGGCAACCUCUACUUUCUCAAUGCCCCUCUUAAGAUGGGGGUGGGGGAGGGUCCUCCUAGAACUGAACAUGAUAUUCCAGGUGUGAUCUAAUACAUUUAAAUGUCCAAAAGCUCUUUCUUCCCUAAACGUUCCUUUUUAAAAGCUACUGUUCUCAAUUAAUGGGUGUCUCAUCUUCUUAAGUAUAUUAAUAAGAGGUAUUUUGAUGUUUCCCUCCAUUCUGUGGAUUACCUCUUGAUUCUCUGGAUUCUUUGUGAUUCCGUUUUGUUUUAAGGAUGUUCUCAGGUGUCUGGUGAUCCUUGCUUAUAAGUCCAAAUUAAUGAUGAGGCACUAAAAUGCUGAUUGGAAGCUCUCUGUGCAGGCAGGUAUUGUUGAAUAGUGGUAAACAGGGGACAUGUUCAUUUUGGAGACACUCAAAUAUCAGGACCUAUAAAUCUCUAUGCCAAGUCAGUUUCCCCAGAGUCUCUUAAUAUCAUUUCUUUCAGGUUAAAAGCCUGGUUACCAGGUUCUGGGAGUGAAGGGAGGAGUGGGGCUUAGACAAGGGUGGGGGCGGGGGUAUGUCUCACAAUUCACUAAAUACCUUCUUUUAUAUAUGUGUUCUCUGUGCAGCAUUUUACCCCCACCAUCGUCCAUGUCUGAUGCCUCAGGUUCAAUCUUGUUCAGUCUUUCCAAAGAGGAAACAUUGGUUGGGUGGGAAUGAUUGGCAGGUCGAAGAGAGAAUUUGAAGCUAUAGCUGCUCCUUUUAAAACUUCUAACUCAUCUUUGUUUUUUCAGGCCUUCCUCACACCCAUGUCUUCAGAUACCCAAGGCCUUUAAUACCCAAGUCCUUCCAGGAUUCUGCACAUCUCAUUAGCUUCAUAUUCCCAUAUCAUAGUGCCUCAGAUCCCCUUUCAAGACUGAAAGACUUUCUACUCCAGAUGCCAUUGGCUGAAGACAGCUUCUAUUCAAACAGGGAAAUGGCCUGUCUGCAACAUGCAGCCUUUAUUCUUAUCUGCAUGGCAUACUCCUUCUCCUUCUUUAAAAUUUGAUAGUAAGUCUUUUAUGAUUUUGCUCUUUUAAAUGAAAUUAAUCAUGCCCCUCUUCAUCUUACUUACUCUAUACCUCAUAUAUAUAUUCAUUUUUGCAUUUAUGACAUAUCUUUUAUGUUUAUUAUACCUGUUUCCCCUGCCAGCCUAAAACUCUAUGGAGGAAGACAUUAUGUCUUAUUUGACUGUGUAUACUCAGCUCUUAGUACAAGUAAGUACCUAGUACAUAAUAGGUACUCAAUAAAUAUCAAUUGAAUUGAAUAAGAAAACUGAGUUUAGGUUAAAAAAAAAUCUCAGAUGGAAUGUCAGAGAGUAAGUACAUACCUAUUGCUGGGGUGACCAGGGGCAAAUUACUUAACAUUUCUGAGUUGGAAAUAAUGCCAACUACAAUUACAAGACCAUUGUGAAGAUAAAUAAGAUGACACAGGUAAAGAAGCUGUACAAAGUAGGGGUCUAGCUUGGGUGACAGGGUGAAACUGUCCAUUCUUCUCAUAAUAAAUGCCCAUUCUCUUCACAAUAAAUUGAAAAUUAGUUUGCAACAAACUUAUUCCUGCCCUUUUUUGUAUUCAGGGUUUGGCAAGACCUUCUGAGUUAAUUUAGGACAACUUAGUGUUUAGCAUAACUCUUUCACAGAUUUGCUGUAUUAUCAGUGUCUGAUGAUGUUGACAAUGUUGAAGAAGAAGAAAGAAGAGGAGUUGGAGGAGGAGGAAGAAAACAUCCAGAGCAUUCAAUUUAUUCUAGUUAAAUUACUAACCAGAAAGAGAAUGCCCUCGGAAGUCUACUUUAUAAUGCUGUUUGGUUCUAAGUAAAGAGCAUCUAAUAGGGAGACAUGUAAAUCCUGUUUCCAAAACACACUUAGAGGAUUACAGCAUGUGAAAGAUUUGCU
Molecule: long non-coding RNA, 9063 nt
Filed under: Homo sapiens (human)
Lineage: Eukaryota; Metazoa; Chordata; Mammalia; Primates; Hominidae
Description: HSALNT0364199
Source: RNAcentral